Ictidomys tridecemlineatus (thirteen-lined ground squirrel) is the source of this 1219-nucleotide non-coding RNA. NCBI's taxonomy places the organism in Eukaryota, Metazoa, Chordata, Mammalia, Rodentia, Sciuridae. The record is from RefSeq and is a predicted model, not a curated record.
AGGCUGGUGAGUGAGCCCUGAGGAGAGUGCGGAGCCGCCCAGCGCACACUGGAAGGAGAGGCUUCCAGUCCUCUGCUCGCAGGCUGACAGCACCUCCCCUGAGGCUGGCAGAGCUGGAGUGCUGGGUGUUUACCAAAGACAGCUAUUUGGGGAACAGGGGAGGGAAAAGCAGCAUUCUUCAGCUCCCUGCCAGCCCCUCAGCUGCCACUCCUAUGGACCCAUCCGGACCGUCCUCUCCUCAAAGACACAAGUUCAUUUUGCUUUUUCACACGGAAGAGAAUCUAAGGUGUGGAGUUCAGCCGUAGGACUGGCUGGCUCCCGGAGACACAGUGGAGCCAGCAGGACAGCACCCACUUCCAGGCAAGCUGGGGCAGCCAGAAACCGCAGGGUGGCUCCAGCUAGGAACCUGCCCCAUGAGCCUGGCCCCACACCACAAGGACCCUUUGCCCAUCUGCUCCAGCCCUCCUGUUCCACACAGGGGAAGGGUCCCCUGAGGAAACACGUCUCCUGUCUCAGAACAGCCAAGACCAACCACACUGGAGGUCCCAGCACCCAAAGCUCCACCUGGAACCCCAAUCUCAGCCCCACUGGAGGCAGGGCAGGAGCUCUGGCCAGUCUCAGGCCCAGCAUCCCAGGGGACACCCCACUUCAGUUCACCUGGAGAGGUGCUGUGUCCCCUGGCCCAGUGACUUCCUUCAGGAACUGCUCCCAGCAAGUCCAGGAAAAUCUAACAAAAAUGCAGUGCUUCCCGGGCCCCUAACCGCAAGGGGCCUCCGCUGGAAAGAGGAAGGCUCCCUUUCCCGCUUCCUCCCGCCAUUCACCAUAGAACUUCCCUGGAGCAAGCCAGGCGGCUCCUCGGGAUCAGCAGCGACGCAAGCAGAGGCCAGCGGAGCGCAGGUGAGGAUCUGCAGCUUCCACCGCACACCCAGAGGCCUGCUGUCGACUGGGGUCGGGUGGAGCAGACCAGGCAGUCGGAGGGCACCUGGCGGGGCAGGGGACGCACGCUAAGUGUCCGCGAGCUGGGCCGAACACGUGGGCUGUGGCGUGACCUGGGGAGGGCUGGCAGGCGCCCCUAGGCUUUGGUGCUCGGCGGGGUUGGGGGGUGGUAGUGCAGAGAAAAAGGUGCAGGGGAUGGCGCGCCUCGGGAAGAGAGGGACUCGGCUCGUCCUGCGACACUGUUCGCAGACCAGCCUCAGCUCCCAGCUAGGCUGAGUUCCCC